GACGAACGCUGGCGGCGUGCUUAACACAUGCAAGUCGAACGGUAAGGCCCUUCGGGGUACACGAAUGGCGAACGGGUGAGUAACACGUGGGUGAUCUGCCCUGCACUUCGGGAUAAGCCUGGGAAACUGGGUCUAAUACCGGAUAGGACCACUGCCUGCAUGGGUGGUGGUGGAAAGCUUUUGCGGUGUGGGAUGGGCCCGCGGCCUAUCAGCUUGUGGGUGGGGUGAUGGCCGACCAAGGCGACGACGGGUAGCCGGCCUGAGAGGGUGACCGGCCACACUGGGACGGCGGUAGGGGCGGGGGGGCUACGGGGGGCAGCAGUGGGACAGAUUGCGCGAUGGGCGGGAGCCGGAUGCAGCGACGCCGGGUGAGGGAUGACUGCCUUCGGGUUGUAGACCUCUUUCAGCACCGACGAAGCGCAAGUGACGGUAGGUGCAGAAGAAGGACCGGCCAACUACGUGCCAGCCGCCGCCGUAA
This 478-nucleotide ribosomal RNA is filed under the name uncultured bacterium. RNAcentral describes it as "partial 16S ribosomal RNA". It matches the Rfam family "Bacterial small subunit ribosomal RNA", at positions 28 to 523 of the family's 1533-position model. The record is from RNAcentral.